Molecule: ribosomal RNA, 418 nt
Filed under: uncultured microorganism
Description: bacterial SSU rRNA
Rfam family: Bacterial small subunit ribosomal RNA
Source: RNAcentral
GAGUUUGAUCCUGGCUCAGAUUGAACGCUGGCGGCAUGCCUUACACAUGCAAGUCGAACGGCAGCAUGAUCUAGCUUGCUAGAUUGAUGGCGGAGUGGCGAACGGGUGAGUAAUACAUCGGAACGUGCCCUGUAGUGGGGAUAACUAGUCGAAAGAUUAGCUAAUACCGCAUACGACCUGAGGGUGAAAGUGGGGGACCGCAAGGCCUCAUGCUAUAGGAGCGGCCGAUGUCUGAUUAGCUAGUUGGUGGGGUAAAGGCCCACCAAGGCGACGAUCAGUAGCUGGUCUGAGAGGACGAUCAGCCACACUGGGACUGAGACACGGCCCAGACUCCUACGGGAGGCGAGCAGUGGGAAUUUGGACAAUGGGCGAAAGCCUGAUCCAGCAAUGCCGCGUGUGUGAAGAAGGCCUCGGUUGG